Molecule: transfer RNA, 67 nt
Filed under: Calameuta filiformis
Lineage: Eukaryota; Metazoa; Arthropoda; Insecta; Hymenoptera; Cephidae
Description: tRNA-Ala
Source: RNAcentral
AGGAUUAUAAUUUAAAUAAAAUACUUGAAUUGCACUCAAAAAUUACUUAAUAUAUAAGUUAAUCUUA